UGGGGAAUAUUGGACAAUGGGCGCAAGCCUGAUCCAGCCAUGCCGCGUGUGUGAAGAAGGCCUUCGGGUUGUAAAGCACUUUUGUCCGGAAAGAAAAGCUUCGGGUUAAUAACCUGGAGUCAUGACGGUACCGGAAGAAUAAGCACCGGCUAACUUCGUGCCAGCAGCCGCGGUAAUACGAAGGGUGCAAGCGUUACUCGGAAUUACUGGGCGUAAAGCGUGCGUAGGUGGUUUGUUAAGUCUGAUGUGAAAGACCCUGGGCUCAACCUGGGAACGGCAUUGGAUACUGGCUUACUAGAGUGCGGUAGAGGGUAGUGGAAUUCCCGGUGUAGCAGUGGAAAUGCGUAGAUAUCGGGAGGAACAUCUGUGGCGAAGGCGACUACCUGGACCAGGCACUGACACUGAGGCACGAAAGCGUGGGGAGCAAACAGGAUUAGAUACCCUGGUAGUCCACGCCCUAAACGAUGCGAACUGGAUGUUGGGUGCAACUUGGCACUCAGUA
RNAcentral lists this ribosomal RNA (502 nucleotides) under uncultured Pseudomonadota bacterium. RNAcentral's name for it is "bacterial SSU rRNA". It matches the Rfam family "Bacterial small subunit ribosomal RNA", at positions 355 to 845 of the family's 1533-position model. Lineage: Bacteria; Pseudomonadati; Pseudomonadota. The record is from RNAcentral.